AAGGUUGUGAAUAACAAUGUCCUGCAAACAAUAAGUCAAAAGGACAUCAAAGUGAAAAUAUGCCUGAUCAUAGGACAUCAAAUAGAAAAUACUCCAUGAGACUUUCUUCCAUAUCAGUGGGGACCGUGAUAGGACACAGGAAAUAUAGAUAUACAAAAUAUUUAAGCAAAAUUUACACAAUACCAUAUUUUACCUAUGCUCAUUGCAGACAAUUAACCACCAGAGAUGCAUGGCAGGUGGAAAGAAUUGCAAUAUGGUAGCCAACUUAUAGUGAACUUAUUACUUACAUCGGAAAAACCCCUAGGUCCCAUUCUUCUAGCCCAAUCACAAAACACCUACUAUAAUGUGCCCGAUGUGAAUGACUGAGGAGCUCAAAAUGCAGUAAGCCAAAGCAUACUCUUUUGUCAAAACCUAAUUCUUACAAGUCUUCCUGGGUGAUAAAUCUGAUAAUAAGUAAGUAAAAAUAGUUCCUUAACUUCAAAUGUCAGAAUACAUGAACAUCGAUUGACAUAGUGGGAAAGGGGGAAAAUGAAUUAAAAAACUUUAUAAGGAUAAAAAAAAAUGACAUCUGAAAGAACAAUUAAUGUAAAAAUAGAACUUAUGGAAUUUUAUUUAAUGAAACAAGGAAUAAUCAUAAAUCAGUACAAUUUGAAGCACAUGAUUUAAAUUUCAGGGAUUCUUCCAAAAAUUAUGAUCAUAUAAAUUACCUGACAAUGCUUCCUCAGAUCUU
RNAcentral lists this unclassified non-coding RNA (730 nucleotides) under Hevea brasiliensis (rubber tree). Lineage: Eukaryota; Viridiplantae; Streptophyta; Magnoliopsida; Malpighiales; Euphorbiaceae. The record is from RNAcentral.